Molecule: ribosomal RNA, 117 nt
Organism: Danio rerio (zebrafish)
Lineage: Eukaryota; Metazoa; Chordata; Actinopteri; Cypriniformes; Danionidae
Source: Ensembl
UGCCACAGGCAUGUUAUCCUGUAGCCCAAUACUGGUUACUCACUGAAGCUAAGCAGGGCUGAGCCUGGUCAGUACCUGGAUGGAAGACCAUGUGGGAACCCUGGGUUGCUGUUGGAA